Molecule: RNA transcript, 1371 nt
Organism: Armigeres subalbatus
Lineage: Eukaryota; Metazoa; Arthropoda; Insecta; Diptera; Culicidae
Exons: 3
Source: RefSeq, a predicted model, not a curated record
UAGACUGAUGAAUUACAUACAGUGUGCUGAAUUAUCACUUUUGCUUCUUCAUUAUUAUUUAGUGUGUAAUGUAUAUGUCAUUUGACAAGCUAUUAAUGUAGCGUCAGUAUAUAAAUAUACAAAUGUAUAUGUAUGCAAUUUGAGUUGAAAUAUAAACCAACAGUAAUGAACUGGUGUCAUUCCUGUUCUGGACGUCAACCGAUUUAGAUAUUAUUUCAAGGUGUUAUCCCGAAAGUUUCCCUCUGCAGUACUUAUCAAGUGGCGACGAGGUAAAAAGUUAUUGAAACGUGCUUAUUGACGAACGCUGAGCAACUUUGGUUAGUGGUGAUUUUGGUGCGGUGGCCCGGAGGAUAAUCUGCAUAACUACGGCGUAUAUACGGGGUCAUCGAACAACAAAAAAGAACGGAUCGAACUGAUUUCGGGUGCAGUGGUUUAGGACCUAUUAUCUCGCCUAAUAUUGAAGUUGAUCUGCCGCUAAUUUGUUGAAGUUUCGUUCGGCGGGGUCGGUGGCCAUUGAAACGCGAAAGAACAGUGUACGUUAACGCCGAAGUUGACGCUGAUUGGCAUCCAUACACUCUGCUCAGUGGCGAGAGCUUUGGUCAUCGGCGAUAAGGACUCAGGCGACAGGUGAAAAUCGGGUGAAUAGACGAAACUGUGGUUGGACAAAUCUCCGCCGCAUCCUAUUCGCUAGCUAACUGGCUAGUGCGAGUUGAAGUUGGCAGAUAUCUGGUGGAAAUUGGAAGCGUGCGAACAACAGCUCAUCGCACACAAAUUCGACCGUUUAUUGAACCGACCGUGCCGGAUCGACCUAACUUGAUGCUCCCUAUGACGAAUACUCGUAGUAUGACUAGAGAAAUCGGCGAGGCAGCUGAGAUGCCUACACCGGACAUUAGUUGUGAAGAUCCUGGAGCGGAUGCUGGGAAGCCAACUCGCUCGAGGCGGAAGAGAAGGAUGGAGAGCACAACGCCUAUUGAAUUAAGGCGUUCGAAACGAUCUAGGAUGAGCAAGACCGAUCCGGAUUUCGUGUAUUUUAAUUAGAGUUUGAAGUGUGAAUAAUUGUCCGUUCGGAUUGAAAGCGACAGUUAGAGAAGAACUUGCGUAAGGGUAAAGGAGUUGUUGUGUCUCGAUAUGAGAUACGUUCUGAAAUAGACUGAUGAAUUACAUACAGUGUGCUGAAUUAUCACUUUUGCUUCUUCAUUAUUAUUUAGUGUGUAAUGUAUAUGUCAUUUGACAAGCUAUUAAUGUAGCGUCAGUAUAUAAAUAUACAAAUGUAUAUGUAUGCAAUUUGAGUUGAAAUAUAAACCAACAGUAAUGAACUGGUGUCAUUCCUGUUCUGGACGUCAACCGAUUUAGAUAUUAUUUCAAGGUGUU